GGGCAGAUGGCGGAACUGGUAGACGCGCUGGACUCAAAAUCCUGUUCCAGUAAUGGAGUGAGGGUUCGAUUCCCUCUCUGCCCACCA
Molecule: transfer RNA, 87 nt
Filed under: Candidatus Saccharimonadota bacterium
Lineage: Bacteria; Candidatus Saccharimonadota
Description: tRNA-Leu
Rfam family: tRNA
About the family: Transfer RNA (tRNA) molecules are approximately 80 nucleotides in length. Their secondary structure includes four short double-helical elements and three loops (D, anti-codon, and T loops).
Source: RNAcentral